AGCUUCAGUAGCGUAUAUUAAAGUUGUUGCAGUUAAAAAGCUCGUAGUUGGAUUUCUGGUGUGAGGGAACGGUCCGACCUCUGGUGGGUACUUGCUUCCUCUCACGCCAUCCUUGAGUGGUGCGUUCUGGCAUUCAGUUGUCGGGACGUUAGCCGCUCAUCGUUUACUGUGAGAAAAUUAGAGUGUUCAAAGCAGGCUUAUGCCGUUGAAUAUAUUAGCAUGGAAUAAUAAGAUAGGACUUCGGUACUAUUUUGUUGGUUUGCGCACCGAUGUAAUGAUCAAUAGGGACAGUUGGGGGUAUUCGUAUUCAGUUGUCAGAGGUGAAAUUCUUAGAUUUACGGAAGACGAACUACUGCGAAAGCAUUUACCAAGGAUGUUUUCA
This 382-nucleotide ribosomal RNA is filed under the name uncultured marine Chaetocerotaceae. RNAcentral describes it as "SSU rRNA". It matches the Rfam family "Eukaryotic small subunit ribosomal RNA", at positions 587 to 972 of the family's 1831-position model. The record is from RNAcentral. Lineage: Eukaryota; Bacillariophyta; Thalassiosirophyceae; Chaetocerotales; Chaetocerotaceae.